UACGGAGGGGGCUAGCGUUGUUCGGAAUCACUGGGCGUAAAGCGCACGUAGGCGGGUCAGCAAGUCAGGGGUGAAAUCCCGGGGCUCAACCUCGGAACUGCCUUUGAAACUGCUGGCCUGGAGGUCGAGAGAGGUGAGUGGAAUUCCUAGUGUAGAGGUGAAAUUCGUAGAUAUUAGGAAGAACACCAGUGGCGAAGGCGGCUCACUGGCUCGAUUCUGACGCUGAGGUGCGAAAGCGUGGGGAGCAAACAGG
RNAcentral lists this ribosomal RNA (253 nucleotides) under uncultured bacterium. Its description in RNAcentral is "partial 16S ribosomal RNA". It matches the Rfam family "Bacterial small subunit ribosomal RNA", at positions 524 to 776 of the family's 1533-position model. The record is from RNAcentral.